UCCGGUGGCUAUGGCGGAGGGGCCACACCCGAUCCCUUUCCGAACUCGGAAGUUAAGCCCUCCAGCGCCGAUGGUACUGCCCGGGUAGCUAGGUGGGAGAGUAGGUCGCCGCCGGAU
RNAcentral lists this ribosomal RNA (117 nucleotides) under Candidatus Lernaella stagnicola. The record is from RNAcentral. Lineage: Bacteria; Candidatus Lernaellota; Candidatus Lernaellaia; Candidatus Lernaellales; Candidatus Lernaellaceae.